This 331-nucleotide ribosomal RNA is filed under the name uncultured bacterium. Its description in RNAcentral is "bacterial SSU rRNA". It matches the Rfam family "Bacterial small subunit ribosomal RNA", at positions 568 to 898 of the family's 1533-position model. The record is from RNAcentral.
CGCGUAGGCGGCCUGUUAAGUCUGGAGUGAAAGUCCUGCUUUCAAGGUGGGAAUUGCUUUGGAAACUGGCGGGCUGGAGUGCAGGAGAGGUUAGCGGAAUUCCCGGUGUAGCGGUGAAAUGCGUAGAGAUCGGGAGGAACACCAGUGGCGAAGGCGGCUAACUGGACUGUAACUGACGCUGAAGCGCGAAAGUGUGGGGAGCAAACAGGAUUAGAUACCCUGGUAGUCCACACGGUAAACGAUGAAUGCUAGGUGUAGGGGGUAUCGACCCCUUCUGUGCCGGAGUAAACACAAUAAGCAUUCCGCCUGGGAGUACGGCCGCAAGGUUGAA